This 515-nucleotide ribosomal RNA is filed under the name Kodamaea nitidulidarum. RNAcentral describes it as "eukaryotic LSU rRNA". It matches the Rfam family "Eukaryotic large subunit ribosomal RNA", at positions 51 to 659 of the family's 3401-position model. The record is from RNAcentral. Lineage: Eukaryota; Fungi; Ascomycota; Pichiomycetes; Serinales; Debaryomycetaceae.
CGGAGGAAAAGAAACCAACAGGGAUUGCCUCAGUAACGGCGAGUGAAGCGGCAAAAGCUCAAAUUUGAAAUCCCCCCGGGGAAUUGUAAUUUGAAGAUUGUGUUUUGGAAACGACCGUGUCUAUGUUCCUUGGAACAGGACGUCACAGAGGGUGAGAAUCCCGUGCGGCACGGCCACCGUUUCCUUAUAAAACACUCUCGACGAGUCGAGUUGUUUGGGAAUGCAGCUCAAAGUGGGUGGUAAAUUCCAUCUAAAGCUAAAUACAGGCGAGAGACCGAUAGCGAACAAGUACAGUGAUGGAAAGAUGAAAAGCACUUUGAAAAGAGAGUGAAACAGUACGUGAAAUUGUUGAAAGGGAAGGGCAUGCCGUCAGAUUGUCAGUGUGGGUAAGAAGCGGGGUACAAAGACUGUGGAACGUGGCCCUCGGGUGUUAUAGCCACAGUUCAUCCCCCGUCUCUUUCCGAGGCCUGCUUUGAGGACACCGACGUAAUGACGGUACGCCGCCCGUCUUGAAA